RNAcentral lists this transfer RNA (85 nucleotides) under Felis catus (domestic cat). It matches the Rfam family "tRNA". From Rfam's summary of the family: Transfer RNA (tRNA) molecules are approximately 80 nucleotides in length. Their secondary structure includes four short double-helical elements and three loops (D, anti-codon, and T loops). Further hydrogen bonds mediate the characteristic L-shaped molecular structure. tRNAs have two regions of fundamental functional importance: the anti-codon, which is responsible for specific mRNA codon recognition, and the 3' end, to which the tRNAs corresponding amino acid is attached (by aminoacyl-tRNA synthetases). tRNAs cope with the degeneracy of the genetic code in two manners: having more than one tRNA (with a specific anti-codon) for a particular amino acid; and 'wobble' base-pairing, i.e. permitting non-standard base-pairing at the 3rd anti-codon position. Lineage: Eukaryota; Metazoa; Chordata; Mammalia; Carnivora; Felidae. RNAcentral also lists the same sequence under 1 other name. The record is from Rfam by way of RNAcentral.
GCCUGGGUGGCUCAGUCGGUUGAGCGACUGACUUCGGCUCAGGUCAUGAUCUCACGGUUUGUGAGUUCGAGCCCCGCAUCGGGCA